UUUGAUUCUGGCUCAGAACGAACGCUGGCGGCGUGGAUCAGGCAUGCAAGUCGAACGAUACUUUUGUAUAGUGGCAAAAGGGUGAGUAACGCGUGGAUAACCUGCCUUAAUCUUUGGGAUAACAUUGCGAAAGCGGUGCUAAUACCGGAUGUGAUAUUUAAGUGCUUCUUAGAUAUUAAAGAUGGCCUCUUCUUGAAAGCUGUCGGAUUAAGAUGGGUCUGCGUCCUAUUAGCUUGUUGGUAGGGUAAUGGCCUACCAAGGCAUCGAUGGGUACCCGGGCUGAGAGGCUGGUCGGGCACAUUGGGACUGAGAUACUGCCCAAACUCCUACGGGAGGCUGCAGUCGAGAAUAUUUCGCAAUGGAGGAAACUCUGACGACGCGACGCCGCGUGAGCGAUGAAGGCCUUCGGGUUGUAAAGCUCUGUCACAGGGGAAGAAUUGCAAAGGAACUAAUACCUUCUUUGAUUGACAUAACCCUGAGAGGAAGCCCCGGCUAACUCCGUGCCAGCAGCCGCGGUAAUACGGAGGGGGCAAGCGUUGUUCGGAUUUACUGGGCGUAAAGGGUGCGUAGGCGGAUAAGUAAGUGAAACGUGAAAGCCUAAGGCUCAACUUUAGAACUGCGUUUCAAACUACAUAUCUUGAGUAUGGGAGAGGUAAGUGGAAUUCUCAGUGUAGCGGUGAAAUGCGUAGAUAUUGAGAAGAACACCAGUUGUGAAGACGGCUUACUAACCUAAUACUGACGCUCAAGCACGAAGGCUAGGGGAGCAAACAGGAUUAGAUACCCUGGUAGUCCUAGCAGUAAACGAUGUCAACUUGGUGUGGGGAAUAUCGACAUUCUCUGUGCCGUAGCCAACGCGUUAAGUUGACCGCCUGGGGAGUACGGCCGCAAGGCUAAAACUCAAAGAAAUUGACGGGGGCCCGCACAAGCGGUGGAGCAUGUGGUUCAAUUCGAAGCAACGCGAAGAACCUUACCUGGACUUGACAUGUAUGUGACAGAAUGUGAAAGCAUUUCUCCCUUCGGGGCGCAUAUACAGGUGUUGCAUGGCUGUCGUCAGCUCGUGUCGUGAGAUAUUGGGUUAAGUCCCGCAACGAGCGCAACCCCUGCUUUCAGUUACCAGCGAGUAAUGUCGGGGACUCUGGAGGGACUGCCGGUGAUAAACCGGAGGAAGGUGGGGAUGACGUCAAGUCAUUAUGGCCCUUACGUCCAGGGCUACACACGUGCUACAAUGGUCGGUACAAUUGGAUGCAAUACCGCGAGGUGGAGCUAAUCCUGGAAAACCGGCCCCAGUUCGGAUUGGAGUCUGCAACUCGACUCCAUGAAGUAGGAAUCGCUAGUAAUGGCAGGUCAGCAACACUGCCGUGAAUACGUUCCCGGGCCUUGUACACACCGCCCGUCACAUCACGAAAGUUGAUUUCACCCGAAGUCGCUGUACCAACCUGUCAAAAGGAGGAAAGUGCCG
This 1459-nucleotide ribosomal RNA is filed under the name metagenome. RNAcentral describes it as "bacterial SSU rRNA". It matches the Rfam family "Bacterial small subunit ribosomal RNA". The record is from RNAcentral.